Molecule: long non-coding RNA, 411 nt
Filed under: Nicotiana benthamiana
Lineage: Eukaryota; Viridiplantae; Streptophyta; Magnoliopsida; Solanales; Solanaceae
Description: long non-coding RNA (NBEN_LNC020734)
Source: RNAcentral
GGCCUCCAAUUAUGGGCAAUGAGUGCUUUGAUUCAGAUAUCUUGGCUGCUUUUGAUAUGGCAAUUCAUGAUGGCGUGGACGUGCUUUCGGUAUCACUUGGAGGAGAUGCUGGAGCGUAUGUUAAUGACAGUGUUGCUAUUGGUUCAUUUCAUGCGGUUAAGCAUGGCAUUGUUGUAGUCACCUCUGCUGGUAACUCUGGUCCUGGUCCUGGGUAUGUCAAUGACAGUGUUGCUAUUGGUUCAUUUCAUGCUGUUAAGCAUGGCAUUGUUGUAGUCACCUCUGCUGGUAACUCUGGUCCUGGUCCUGGUACAGUAUCAAAUGUUGCACCUUGGCUCAUAACCGUUGGAGCGAGCACUAUGGAUCGUCAGUUUCCCAGCUAUAUCAUCCUAGGAAACCAAAAGCAGUACAAAG